RNAcentral lists this ribosomal RNA (618 nucleotides) under Hylodes sazimai. Its description in RNAcentral is "partial 12S ribosomal RNA". It matches the Rfam family "Bacterial small subunit ribosomal RNA", at positions 107 to 1201 of the family's 1533-position model. Lineage: Eukaryota; Metazoa; Chordata; Amphibia; Anura; Hylodidae. The record is from RNAcentral.
UGUGAAAACGCCCUUAAAUUCCCCAUAGGAAUAAGGAGCCGGUAUCAGGCACAAAAAUCCGCCCAAGACACCUAGCUAUGCCACACCCACAAGGGAACUCAGCAGUAAUUAAUAUUGAACAUAAGCGAUAGCUUGAUUCAGUUAAAGUAAAUAGAGCCGGCAAAUCUGGUGCCAGCCGCCGCGGGUACCCCAUGUGGCUCAAAUUGAUCUCUAUCGGCGUAAAGCGUGAUUAAAGCUUCCCCCUUUAUUGAAGGUAAACUAAAAUUAAGCUGUGACACGCUUGUUUUACAGAAAUCCAUAAACGAAAGGUACUUCAAUUUAAACAACUUGAAUACACCACAGGCGAGACACAAACUGGGAUUAGAUACCUCACUAUGCCUAAUCAUAAACUUUAAAUUACACCUUAAUCGCCAGAGAACUACGAGCAAAGCUUAAAACUCAAAGGACUUGACGGUACCCCAUAUACCCCUAGAGGAGCCUGUCCUAUAAUCGAUAUUCCACGUUUAACCUCACCACUUCUAGAUUUUCAGACUGUAUACCUCCGUCGUCAGCUUACCACGUGAGCGAGACUCAGUGAGCUUAAUGUCCAUACGCCUACACGUCAGGUCAAGGUGCAGU